ACGAACGCUGGCGGCGUGCUUAACCCAUGCAAGUCGAACGGAAAGGCCCUGCUUUUGUGGGGUGCUCGAGUGGCGAACGGGUGAGUAACACGUGAGUAACCUGCCCUUGAUUUUGGGAUAACUUCAGGAAACUGGGGCUAAUACCGGAUAGGAGCUCCUGCUGCAUGGUGGGGGUUGGAAAGUUUCGGCGGUUGGGGAUGGACUCGCGGCUUAUCAGCUUGUUGGUGGGGUAGUGGCUUACCAAGGCUUUGACGGGUAGCCGGCCUGAGAGGGUGACCGGCCACAUUGGGACUGAGAUACGGCCCAGACUCCUACGGGAGGCAGCAGUGGGGAAUAUUGCACAAUGGGCGGAAGCCUGAUGCAGCAACGCCGCGUGCGGGAUGACGGCCUUCGGGUUGUAAACCGCUUUCGCCUGUGACGAAGCGUGAGUGGCGGUAAUGGGUAAAGAAGCACCGGCUAACUACGUG
RNAcentral lists this ribosomal RNA (467 nucleotides) under uncultured bacterium. RNAcentral describes it as "partial 16S ribosomal RNA". It matches the Rfam family "Bacterial small subunit ribosomal RNA", at positions 29 to 507 of the family's 1533-position model. The record is from RNAcentral.